This 197-nucleotide non-coding RNA is filed under the name Armatimonadota bacterium. RNAcentral describes it as "Armatimonadetes bacterium (hot springs metagenome) 6S RNA". It matches the Rfam family "6S / SsrS RNA". From Rfam's summary of the family: E. coli 6S RNA was the first non coding RNA to be sequenced, but its function was unknown until recently. It consists of 184 nucleotides that fold into an extended hairpin structure with a large single-stranded internal bulge. Lineage: Bacteria; Bacillati; Armatimonadota. The record is from RNAcentral.
AAAGCCCUGCCGUGUUCGUGAUUUAGCCGAGGAAGUUUUGAGCCGACACUCAAAGUAAUUAGGGGCUCUUGUUCGAAUGUGGCGUGGCAGCCCCGCCCUGAGUUUUCCUUUGGGGAAUCGCAAAGCAUUCGACGGAGCACCCGCCCGUGCUUCACGGGUUCAAAAACUUGUUAGGCACACGGCAUGGUGGGGUUUUU